This 335-nucleotide unclassified non-coding RNA is filed under the name soil metagenome. RNAcentral describes it as "partial contains 5.8S ribosomal RNA, internal transcribed spacer 2, and large subunit ribosomal RNA". The stretch from base 1 to 120 matches the Rfam family "5.8S ribosomal RNA", at positions 35 to 154 of the family's 154-position model. The record is from RNAcentral.
GAUGAAGAACGCAGUGAAAUGCGAUAAGUAAUGUGAAUUGCAGAAUUCAGUGAAUCAUCGAAUCUUUGAACGCACAUUGCGCCCUUUGGUAUUCCUUAGGGCAUGCCUGUUCGAGCGUCAUUUAAACCUUCAAGCUCAGCUUGGUGAUGGGUGACUGUCCUCCCCUCGCGGGGGGACUCGCCUCAAAAACAUUGGCGGCCGGUACAUUGGCUUCGAGCGCAGCAGAAACGCGGUCUCGAGUCCGGUGGAUCGGCUCCCAUAAGUCUAUUCUUUUAUUUUGACCUCGGAUCAGGUAGGGAUACCCGCUGAACUUAAGCAUAUCAAUAAGCGGAGGA